This 773-nucleotide long non-coding RNA is filed under the name Populus trichocarpa (black cottonwood). RNAcentral's name for it is "long non-coding RNA (PTRI_LNC003408)". The record is from RNAcentral. Lineage: Eukaryota; Viridiplantae; Streptophyta; Magnoliopsida; Malpighiales; Salicaceae.
ACCACCAGACCAGGCCAUUGAGCACGAUGCUUUUAUAUAUAUAUAUAUAUAUAUAUAUAUAUAUAUAUAUAUAUAAAGAAAAGAGAAGAAGAGAGGACGUCAAUUCCCAUUAUCUGUUCGAGUCUUCUUACAGCCACUUGUUGAUUUCUUGAACUCUGGAUUUGAUUGUCUGUUUCAGAGGAAAGUGUGCUUUCAUGGCAGUAGCAGUGACUAAUCUCCUCAACAAGAGAUCCCUUCCUCGUGGAAAGGUCAGGAUAAAAGAAACAUUAUAGGAAAGUGGUGGUGGAUCUUCCUUCAAGACUGAUAUUUCUUCUGUGGUUCUGCUUAAAGCAGCAGGAUCAUUUUCUUGGUCAAUUCUCAGUCUUCUUUAAUCAUUCCUUGGUGGCUGCCAACCCUAGUAAUCUGGGUUAAGCUCCGGCUGUGAAGUGAUUAACUUACGGCCACAAGUUUGGUAUUCCCAAGGGAUGGCGAUUUGAUUCAAACCGUGUGGAUAAUGAUUUAAAUCUACCUAAAUGGAUGGUUUUGGGUUUUUUUUUUUUAAUGAAUAGUUGUGUUAAUAAAUGAAUAAUAGAUAGAGUAUGUUUAUUGUAAAAUUCGUUUCAAAUUAAAUUUAGUUUAAAAUUUUAUAUAUAUAUAUAUAUAUAUAUAUUACCAUUUAAUAUUUUGUUAAAUAAUAAAUAAUAGUUGUAAAAUGAAUAUUAUGUGAAUACCCAAAACCUGAAAAAUAUAAUAUAAAAACUUAAUUUUUUUACUCCAUCAAUAACGAGUUGAGU